GGACGAACGCUGGCGGCGUGCCUAAUACAUGCAAGUCAACGGCUUUCUAUGGAAACUUGCUUCCACUGAGAAGAUAGUGGCGAACGGGUGAGUAACACGUGGGUAACCUGCCCAUGAGAGGGGGAUAACAUCCGGAAACGGGUGCUAAUACCGCAUAGUUUUCUUGAUCGCAUGAUCGGGAAAGGAAAGACGGCCUUUGUGCUGUCGCUUAUGGAUGGACCCGCGGCGUAUUAGUUAGUUGGUGAGGUAACGGCUCACCAAGACGAUGAUACGUAGCCGACCUGAGAGGGUGAUCGGCCACAUUGGGACUGAGACACGGCCCAGACUCCUACGGGAGGCAGCAGUAGGGAAUCUUCCGCAAUGGACGAAAGUCUGACGGAGCAACGCCGCGUGAGUGAAGAAGGUUUUCGGAUCGUAAAACUCUGUUGUCAGAGAAGAACAAGUUGGAGAGUAACUGCCCCAGCCUUGACGGUAUCUGACCAGAAAGCCACGGCUAACUACGUGCCAGCCGCGGC
Molecule: ribosomal RNA, 515 nt
Filed under: uncultured bacterium
Lineage: Bacteria
Description: bacterial SSU rRNA
Rfam family: Bacterial small subunit ribosomal RNA
Source: RNAcentral